Molecule: ribosomal RNA, 649 nt
Filed under: uncultured bacterium
Lineage: Bacteria
Description: bacterial SSU rRNA
Rfam family: Bacterial small subunit ribosomal RNA
Source: RNAcentral
UGCAAGUCGAGGGGUAACAGGAAGUGCUUGCACUUUGCUGACGACCGGCGCACGGGUGCGUAACGCGUAUACAAUCUACCUUGUACUGGGGUAUAGCCCAGAGAAAUUUGGAUUAAUCCCCCAUAGUAUGUAUAAGUGGCAUCACUUUUACAUUAAAGGUUACGGUACAAGAUGGGUAUGCGUCCUAUUAGUUAGUUGGUAAGGUAACGGCUUACCAAGACUACGAUAGGUAGGGGCCCUGAGAGGGGGACCCCCCACACUGGUACUGAGACACGGACCAGACUCCUACGGGAGGCAGCAGUGAGGAAUAUUGGACAAUGGGCGAGAGCCUGAUCCAGCCAUGCCGCGUGCAGGAAGACUGCCCUAUGGGUUGUAAACUGCUUUUAUACAGGAAGAAACCUUUCCACGUGUGGGAAGCUGACGGUACUGUAAGAAUAAGGAUCGGCUAACUCCGUGCCAGCAGCCGCGGUAAUACGGAGGAUCCGAGCGUUAUCCGGAAUUAUUGGGUUUAAAGGGUCCGUAGGCGGGUCUUUAAGUCAGUGGUGAAAGUUUGCGGCUCAACCGUAAAAUUGCCAUUGAUACUGGAGAUCUUGAAUUAGUGUGAAGUGGUUAGAAUGUGUAGUGUAGCGGUGAAAUGCAUAGAUAUUAC